AGCCAAUAGGAGAGAAGGCUUCUGUUACUCCCGUCAACCUUUUUACAUCAGGUGGGCCAGAGGGCUUCUCAGCCUCCAGCAUAGCCAACAGGCAGGGUGUUAGACGCCUGCAGCAGGACCAGCACAGCACUCAGCCAGUCCCCAGAAGCUUAGCCAGGAGCACUGCUCUCUGGAGCCCAGCAGAAAUCUGAUAAGGGGAAAUGCUCACUCAAAAGAGGAGAAACGGAGAGCUGCUGUUUCUCAGGGAAGAGAGUGAGAAGCAGGAGAAGAGAAUACAGGAGAAAGCAGGGGGACAGGAAGAAAGAGCAGAGCAAACUGCCCAUAAAAACUGCCCAGAGACCUUGUUGAAUGUUUUCUCAGACAAAACAUAAAUAUAUUUACAAGCGUACUAUUGUUGAAAAUUAAUACUAGGCACCAGCUAAAUGCAGGAAGAUUUGGACUGUGGCUGGAAGUGCAGUCCUUCACCUGGUGGAGCUGGUGCAUGUAGGUCUUCAUCCCCAGGAUCUGGCUUUGGUUUCAAAACCUCUCCAUUGUGGCAGACUUCGAUAUGACCAACUGCCUUACUGAAGGCAUCAUGCUGGGCCAAGCAGGCAAAGCCCAGUCCUAAUGUCUUCCAGGUUAAGGCACCGGCACCCAAUCCUUCUUGCGCUGCGAUGUUCAUCGCAACCUUCGUUAUCGAUUCGAGAGAGUGCAGACAAGCAUGUGUUCUCCUCCGAAGCAUGUGAUGUCAGACAUUUUAUUACGUUGCCGUUGGCAAGUCUUCUGCAGACACAAGUUGGACAAAAGGACUUAAUGUGCAUUUCAAGAGAUGGAGUUGGCGGUGCCCGAUAAACCAAUGGAGGUGCUCAGACAGACCCUGGCGAGUGAAACCCUUCCAUUUCUGGGCGAUGUUAAGGCCAAUUACAUGUCAUACUGCAGAAUCCCUUCACUUAGUCUGAGUGAGUCAUCAUCAGGACAGGCUGCUGCUGUACUGCUAUGGAAGCUAUAAGCAAACUGCCAUGGAAACACAGCCAACUAAUUAGCAAAACAGAAACUGAGUCUGCAAUAAUUAUGUCAAAUUACAAAAUAAUGUAAGUUCCCCCUAAAGAAAUGUGCAAUAAAUUAGUAACACAAAGCAUAAAAUAACCACAACAGUUAUUUAAUGAAGCUGCAAACUCAAAAUUACAACUGACUACUAAGAAAGUACACUUGGCUUCUAGAGCAGAAAUCUAAGAGGUCUAAAAUGCCUCUGAGUUUUUUAGUGAAUUUCAGCACCAGUGAUUCAUUUAAGUCAUUGUUUAUCUAAAGAAUCCACACUCCUUGUUCCCAAAGCCUUAAUUGGCUUCUGAUUGAAAGGAAACCACAAACAAACUGCAGGCACUCCGGCCCACUAGAAUUGGAAGUACAUCUGCAGACACCCCGGCCCACUAGAAUUGGAAGUACAUCUGCAGACACCCCAGCCCUCAAGGACUGGAGUUAAACCUGCAGACACUGCGGCACUCCAGGACUGGAGUUAAAGCUCAGACACUGCAGCCCUCCAGGACUGGAGUUAAACCUGCAGACACUGCGGCCCUCCAGGACCGGAGUUAAGCCUGCAGACACUGAGGCCCUCCAGGACUGGACUUGAACCUGCAGGCGAUACAAUCCUCCAAGACUGGAAUUUCACACCCCUGCCUUAACCAGAAAGUUGCAGGUUUCAAAAACCCACACAUGCCACCUCUGUAAUCUGUAUUCACCUCCAAUUUAAAGGCACUGUAAAGGGGAUUAAAAUAGUUAAAAUAUCCAUAAAUCAUCAUAAAGGGAUGUAUCGACUUCACGUCCACCACCAAAUAUCUAUUCAAAGUAAUGCCAAUAACACAUCUCAAGUGUGACAUAAAAUCUGUAUUGAAAGAUCUUUAGAAUUGUAUGUGCAUCAUUGGGACUGCUCCACCUCUCACAUAUGGCUAGCAUUGUUUGACAACUUUUGUUGUGACAGAGUUUCACUGGAAACAAAAACACAGGAUAUUAAAGGUCUACUGUAAUUAUCUUAGUUGGGAUUUAGACCAUGAGACCUUUGAACUCAACUGAACUAGAGCCAUAAUGGCAUAUCCUAAUGAGCAGCAGCUGCACUGCCUUUAAUUGGAUCUGGUGGAUUUAAGCUGAGAUGCACACCCCCUGCAUGGUUGUUAGAGGUUCUCAAAUUGCUUAAACAAUUUUUAAAAAAUUUGGCAUCUCCAUUUCCACAUGAAUUUGGAAUCCAAUUCGCAAACUAUGUACAAGCAUGCUCAUAUAUGUCCCCUGCUGCCAGCUCAGGAGAGUGAAGAGUCACAGUUCUCCUCCAAAUCAUGUGGUGUCAGCCAGAUGCUCCUUUUCACACCAAAGCCACAAGCCGGACACACGCAGGGCAGGAGGAGACCCAGUCAUACGCGCGUGCAGAGAGCAAGCCCUGGGUGUCUGGUUGGCCAACAGGGGUUGCUUGAGAAAUGAACACUGCUAUCCCCACCGACUUCCCCUAAAGCAAACUGUGUGCUCCCUCUGCAGGGCUGCUGGUCAGUUGGCAGUGGCACGGGUCAGAUUCGAUCUGAGACCGUGCUGCUCCCUCAUGCACCGCAAGCGGUGCUUUUACCUAGUGAGCUACCCAGCAGCCCCGAGAGGGAGUUUUUAAUGUUGACUGAACACAUCAGUGUAACACAUUACAGAUGAGGGGAUUACACUCUUUAGAACCACCAACCCCAACACCAAGCUCAAAACUACUGAAUGUACCAUACACACAGUCUGUGUCUGUACACAUUCAUUACUUUGUGGGCUUUCAGAUGCCAUGUGUAUGUUUGUGAAUGUGUAUGUAUGCACGUGUCUAAGUGUGUGUUUGUGUGUGUCCAUGCGUAUGUGCAUAGGUGUGUGCAUGCGUAUACAUGCUUGCUUGGGUUGGGUGCAUACAUGCAUGCAUGCUUUCAUGCCUAGGGUGUAUGUGUGUGUGCUUACUUGGGUACGAUGUGUGUGUGCACGAGAGAGA
Anguilla rostrata (American eel) is the source of this 2971-nucleotide long non-coding RNA. RefSeq lists it as uncharacterized. The record is from RefSeq and is a predicted model, not a curated record. The transcript has 3 exons. Lineage: Eukaryota; Metazoa; Chordata; Actinopteri; Anguilliformes; Anguillidae.